RNAcentral lists this ribosomal RNA (119 nucleotides) under Pteropus alecto (black flying fox). RNAcentral also lists the same sequence under 1 other name. Lineage: Eukaryota; Metazoa; Chordata; Mammalia; Chiroptera; Pteropodidae. The record is from RNAcentral.
GUCUACCACCAUGUCACCCUGAACUGUCUGGAUCCUGUCUGAUCUCGGAAGCUAAGCAGGGUCCGGCCUGGUUAGUACUUGGAUGGGAGACCACCUAGGAAGACCAGGUACUGUAGGUG